Molecule: ribosomal RNA, 846 nt
Filed under: uncultured Bacillota bacterium
Lineage: Bacteria; Bacillati; Bacillota
Description: bacterial SSU rRNA
Rfam family: Bacterial small subunit ribosomal RNA
Source: RNAcentral
CAAGUCGAGCGAGGCGGCCCGCAAGGGUCAGUCGAGCGGCGAACGGGUGAGUAACGCGUGGAUUAUCUGCCCGAAGGUGGGGGAUAACCCGGGGAAACUCGGGCUAAUACCGCAUGAUACCGAGAGGUCAAAGGGGGCUCGCAAGGGCUCUCGCCAUUGGAGGAGUCCGCGUCCGAUUAGCUAGUUGGUAGGGUAAUGGCCUACCAAGGCGACGAUCGGUAGCCGGCCUGAGAGGGUGAUCGGCCACACUGGAACUGAGACACGGUCCAGACUCCUACGGGAGGCAGCAGUGGGGAAUUUUGCGCAAUGGGCUAACGCCUGACGCAGCAACGCCGCGUGGAGGAUGAAGGUCUUUGGAUUGUAAACUCCUGUCGGCAGGGAAAAAGCGACUCGACCUAAUACGUCGGGGAGUUGAUUGUACCUGCGGAGGAAGCCCCGGCUAACUCUGUGCCANCAGCCGCGGUAAUACAGAGGGGGCAAGCGUUAUUCGGAAUUAUUGGGCGUAAAGGGCGCGUAGGCGGCCUGGCAAGUGGAAGGUGAAAUCCCUCGGCUUAACCGAGGAACUGCCCUCCAAACUGCUUGGCUUGAGUCCGGGAGAGGUGAGUGGAAUUCCCAGUGUAGCGGUGAAAUGCGUAGAUAUUGGGAGGAACACCAGUGGCGAAGGCGGCUCACUGGACCGGAACUGACGCUGAGGCGCGAAAGCGUGGGGAGCAAACGGGAUUAGAUACCCCGGUAGUCCACGCCGUAAACGAUGAGUGCUUGGUGUAGCGGGUAUCGACCCCUGCUGUGCCGAAGUCAACACAUUAAGCACUCCGCCUGGGGAGUACGGUCGCAAGGCUGAAACUC